GUGGGGAAUAUUGGACAAUGGGCGAAAGCCUGAUCCAGCAAUGCCGCGUGGGUGAAGAAGGUCUUCGGAUUGUAAAGCCCUUUCGACGGGGACGAUGAUGACGGUACCCGUAGAAGAAGCCCCGGCUAACUUCGUGCCAGCAGCCGCGGUAAUACGAAGGGGGCUAGCGUUGCUCGGAAUGACUGGGCGUAAAGGGCGCGUAGGCGGUUUGCACAGUUGGAUGUGAAAUUCCUGGGCUCAACCUGGGGGCUGCAUUCAAUACGUGCGGGCUUGAGUUCGGAAGAGGGUCGUGGAAUUCCCAGUGUAGAGGUGAAAUUCGUAGAUAUUGGGAAGAACACCGGUGGCGAAGGCGGCGACCUGGUCCGAUACUGACGCUGAGGCGCGAAAGCGUGGGGAGCAAACAGGAUUAGAAACCCUAGUAGUCC
RNAcentral lists this ribosomal RNA (425 nucleotides) under uncultured bacterium. RNAcentral describes it as "bacterial SSU rRNA". It matches the Rfam family "Bacterial small subunit ribosomal RNA", at positions 354 to 796 of the family's 1533-position model. The record is from RNAcentral.